AAGACUACUUUCAGGGGUCAUUGCUAUAGUUCGUUACUAGAGAAAUCUCUCUGAGUACAUAGAACCCCAGAAACCACAAGGAGGAGGUGGGCAUUGUCUCCUGAGUGUGAAGCUGGCUCUCAGUGUUCCUUUGCUCCAACUGCCAUUUGCCUUUGAUGAUCCUUGUUGUCCUCUGGGAGGAGCAAGAGGGAGACGAUGCAGUCUGAAUAGU
Molecule: small nucleolar RNA, 211 nt
Filed under: Carlito syrichta (Philippine tarsier)
Lineage: Eukaryota; Metazoa; Chordata; Mammalia; Primates; Tarsiidae
Description: Small nucleolar RNA U3 (ENSTSYG00000024424.2)
Rfam family: Small nucleolar RNA U3
About the family: Small nucleolar RNAs (snoRNAs) are involved in the processing and modification of rRNA in the nucleolus. There are two main classes of snoRNAs: the box C/D class, and the box H/ACA class.
Source: Rfam by way of RNAcentral